AGCCGCGUCGCCAUCUUACGGGACAGGGCGGGACAGGACAGGGCGGCACCGCCGCUGGAGCCCCUCCUGUCCUUUCAAAAGGAAGGAGAAACCUGAAAACACAUCACAGUUGUGAACCCUUGUGGUCUGUCUGCUGCUGGGAGAGGAGGAGCAAUGUGUUUGCUGCAGAGGGAUUAAACAGCUGAAGAAAACAGUCCAGCAGAAAGUGGCAGGGGCAGCUCCUGGGAGAAGAUAUCUGCCAGGAGGAAUGUGUUGUUGGCAGCUUCAGCCACUGAAGCUUUUGAGGAAGUGGGUUUGAUGCUGACACAAGAAAAAAUCCUGCAGGAUUCAAAGAUAUGCCAGUUCUCUCUGGGUCUCAGAGCUGCCAUGCAUUGCUGCCCAGGACACAGAGAUCUUCGUGCUCAUCCUCUGCUUUGAAAGGUUAAUUGUGCCAGUGGGGUGGCAGGAGGCUGAAGGGCAAUGCUCGUCCCCAGACUCCAGAUGCCAUGUUUGCAGUAGUGCCAGCAGCCUUUAUGGGCUUGCAGAGCAUUACCCAAGCCAUGCAGCAUCACUUCUGCAGGAGCAACAUCCCUGAUCCUUCCUCCAGAGCUGGUAUGUUGUGAUAUGUUGUAAUCUUUGGCAAAGACAGGGAGUGAAGGAGGAAUGCAAAUACAUUUGUC
Long non-coding RNA from Vidua macroura (Pin-tailed whydah), 659 nucleotides. RefSeq lists it as uncharacterized. NCBI's taxonomy places the organism in Eukaryota, Metazoa, Chordata, Aves, Passeriformes, Viduidae. The transcript has 3 exons. The record is from RefSeq and is a predicted model, not a curated record.